GCUGGCGGCGUGCCUAAUACAUGCAAGUCGAGCGAGAUGUUAGCGCAUGAACCUUCGGGGGAUUAUGCUAACGGACAGCGGCGGACGGGUGAGUAACGCGUAGGCAACCUGCCCCUGACAGAGGGAUAGCCAUUGGAAACGAUGAUUAAAACCUCAUGACACCGUAGAAGCACAUGCUUCAUCGGUCAAAGAUUUAUCGGUCAGGGAUGGGCCUGCGUCUGAUUAACUAGUUGGUGAGGUAACGGCUCACCAAGGUGACGAUCAGUAGCCGACCUGAGAGGGUGAUCGGCCACAUUGGAACUGAGACACGGUCCAAACUUCUACGGAAGGCAGCAGUAGGGAAUCUUGCACAAUGGGCGAAAGCCUGAUGCAGCAACGCCGCGUGAAGGAUGAAGGCCUUCGGGUUGUAAACUUCUGUUCUAAGGGAAGAAACAAAUGACGGUACCUUAGGAGCAAGCCCCGGCUAACUACGUGCCAGCAGCCGCGGUAAUACGUAGGGGGCAAGCGUUAUCCGGAAUUAUUGGGCGUAAAGAGUGCGUAGGUGGUUACCUAAGCGCAAGGUUUAAUUUAGAGGCUCAACCUCUACUUGCCUUGCGAACUGGGCUACUUGAGUGCAGGAGGGGAAAGCGGAAUUCCUAGUGUAGCGGUGAAAUGCGUAGAUAUUAGGAGGAACACCAGCGGCGAAGGCGGCUUUCUGGACUGUAACUGACACUGAGGCACGAA
RNAcentral lists this ribosomal RNA (723 nucleotides) under uncultured Clostridium sp. RNAcentral describes it as "bacterial SSU rRNA". It matches the Rfam family "Bacterial small subunit ribosomal RNA", at positions 35 to 757 of the family's 1533-position model. Lineage: Bacteria; Bacillati; Bacillota; Clostridia; Eubacteriales; Clostridiaceae. The record is from RNAcentral.